GUCGAACGAGCUGCGCCUAAUGAUAGUUGAUGCUUGCAUUAGCUUGACUUAAGUUAGCAGCGAGUGGCGAACUGGUGAGUAACACGUGGAUAACCUGCCCAGAAGAAGGGGAUAACACCUGGAAACAGAUGCUAAUACCGUAUAACAACGAAAACCACAUGGUUUUCGUUUGAAAGAUGGCCUUUGUGCUAUCGCUUUUGGAUGGAUCCGCGGCGCAUUAGCUAGUUGGUGAGAUAAAGGCUCACCAAGGCAAUGAUGCGUAGCCGACCUGAGAGGGUAAUCGGCCACAUUGGGACUGAGACACGGCCCAGACUCCUACGGGAGGCAGCAGUAGGGAAUCUUCCACAAUGGACGAAAGUCUGAUGGAGCAAUGCCGCGUGAGUGAAGAAGGGUUUCGGCUCGUAAAACUCUGUUGUUAGAGAAGAACGGGCGUGAGAGUAAUUGCUCACGUCGCGACGGUAUCUAACCAGAAAGUCACGGCUAACUACGUGCCAGCAGCCGCGGUAAUACGUAGGUGGCAAGCGUUGUCCGGAUUUAUUGGGCGUAAAGCGAGCGCAGGCGGUCUUCUAAGUCUGAUGUGAAAGCCUUCGGCUUAACCGGAGAAGUGCAUCGGAAACUGGGAAACUUGAGUGCAGAAGAGGAC
RNAcentral lists this ribosomal RNA (643 nucleotides) under Fructilactobacillus fructivorans. RNAcentral's name for it is "bacterial SSU rRNA". It matches the Rfam family "Bacterial small subunit ribosomal RNA", at positions 61 to 659 of the family's 1533-position model. The record is from RNAcentral. Lineage: Bacteria; Bacillati; Bacillota; Bacilli; Lactobacillales; Lactobacillaceae.